RNAcentral lists this ribosomal RNA (476 nucleotides) under Phormidium sp. 2_2. RNAcentral's name for it is "bacterial SSU rRNA". It matches the Rfam family "Bacterial small subunit ribosomal RNA", at positions 8 to 526 of the family's 1533-position model. Lineage: Bacteria; Bacillati; Cyanobacteriota; Cyanophyceae; Oscillatoriales; Oscillatoriaceae. The record is from RNAcentral.
AGAGUUUGAUCAUGGCUCAGGAUGAACGCUGGCGGUAUGCUUAACACAUGCAAGUCGAACGGGGAACUUCGGUUUCUAGUGGCGGACGGGUGAGUAACGCGUGAGAAUCUGCCUUCAGGACGGGGACAACAGUUGGAAACGGCUGCUAAAACCCGAUGUGCCUACGGGUGAAAUAUUAAUAGCCUGGAGAGGAGCUCGCGUCUGAUUAGCUAGUUGGUUGGGUAAUGGCUGACCAAGGCGACGAUCAGUAACUGGUCUGAGAGGAUGACCAGUCACACUGGGACUGAGACACGGCCCAGACUCCUACGGGAGGCAGCAGUGGGGAAUUUUCCGCAAUGGGCGCAAGCCUGACGGAGCAAUACCGCGUGAGGGAGGAAGGCUCUUGGGUCGUAAACCCCUUUUAUCAGGGAAGAACACAAUGACGGUACCUGAUGAAUCAGCAUCGGCUAACUCUGAGCCAGCCGCCGCGGUAAUAC